Long non-coding RNA from Mauremys reevesii (Reeves's turtle), 609 nucleotides. RefSeq lists it as uncharacterized. The transcript is spliced from 2 exons. The record is from RefSeq and is a predicted model, not a curated record. Lineage: Eukaryota; Metazoa; Chordata; Testudines; Geoemydidae.
UGUUUGUUCAAAUGCCAGCAGCUGAGUGAAGACUGUUGGAGGGGAGAGUUGAAGCCAGCUGGCUGGAGUGGCCUUUGAAGAGCACUUACCAUAUGUACUAGUCAACACCCACUUCUGGGGACCAGUUCCUUGGAAGAAGAGCACAGAGUACGCAGGGACAUGAUAUAAUUUCAAAAUAUGAAGCUGAGUGGUGGCAGCAGCUACCCAAGCCCGGGACAUUGGAUACCUGGGGCUGUGACCACACUGCGUUCUCUUUCCGGAGAAGUUGUGGGUCACUUGCCAGGGACGUGUUCCAAAGCAUUUUUACUUUCCGAAUCAUGCUGCAGGUUUUUGUGUGUGUUUGUCUGUGCACAUAUACAGCACAACAGCAUUUGCAAGCAACUCAGGAAACAUUGCAACAGGGUUGGACAGACUUUUCUCAGGAUUAAAUAUGAACUCUCUUAAGAGGGUCUGGUUACUCAUUUGCAGGCUGAGAUGUCUACCUCCAUGGGAUUCCCACUUGAAACAGUUCCUCUGGGAGAUACCUAACAGUGGCUCAACUGACAGGUUCAACCCCUCAUUGGUUUGACUCACCAGCCUACAAGUAGUAAAAUAAGGUGAAAAACCAAA